RNAcentral lists this transfer RNA (68 nucleotides) under Microcondylaea bonellii. RNAcentral describes it as "Unio bonellii tRNA-Phe". Lineage: Eukaryota; Metazoa; Mollusca; Bivalvia; Unionida; Unionidae. The record is from RNAcentral.
GAAGGAAGCAGCUUAAACUAACAAAGCAUAACACUGAAAAUGUUAAGAUAGACCCGUUCUCCCCUUCA